RNAcentral lists this transfer RNA (89 nucleotides) under Phialocephala subalpina. It matches the Rfam family "tRNA". From Rfam's summary of the family: Transfer RNA (tRNA) molecules are approximately 80 nucleotides in length. Lineage: Eukaryota; Fungi; Ascomycota; Leotiomycetes; Helotiales; Mollisiaceae. The record is from Rfam by way of RNAcentral.
GGUCCUAUAGUGUAGUGGUCUAGCACGUCGGAUUCUGACUGUAGUCAACAGGUGUUCCGGAGACUCCAGUUCAAACCUGGAUAGGACCU